UUAAACGGCCGCGGUACCCUAACCGUGCGAAGGUAGCGUAAUCACUUGUUCUCUAAAUUAGGACUAGUAUGAAUGGCAUCACGAAGGUUAUACUGUCUCCCCUUUUUAAUCAGUGAAACUAAUCUCCCCGUGAAGAAGCGGGAAUUUAAUUAUAAGACGAGAAGACCCUAUGGAGCUUUAAACUAAAAACACCUGUUAUUAAAUUUAAAAAUUCCCAUAUAUUUUUACAUAAUGAUUUAUAGUUUUAGGUUGGGGUGACCAUGGAGUAAAAAUUAACCUCCAUAAUGAAUCUAAUUAAGCAAAAAAUUACAAUUUUAUUCAUCAAUACAUUGACAUUUAUUGACCCAAUAUUUUGAUCAUUGAACCAAGUUACCCUAGGGAUAACAGCGCAAUCUACUUUUAAAGUUCAUAUCGACAAGUAGGUUUACGACCUCGAUGUUGGAUCAGGAUAUCCCAGUGGUGCAGCCGCUACUAAAGGUUCGUUUGUUCAACGAUUAAAAUCCUACGUGA
This 510-nucleotide ribosomal RNA is filed under the name Atopophrynus sp. n. MO-2020. Its description in RNAcentral is "partial large subunit ribosomal RNA". It matches the Rfam family "Bacterial large subunit ribosomal RNA", at positions 1923 to 2603 of the family's 2925-position model. The record is from RNAcentral. Lineage: Eukaryota; Metazoa; Chordata; Amphibia; Anura; Strabomantidae.